This 353-nucleotide RNase P RNA is filed under the name Acholeplasma oculi. RNAcentral's name for it is "Bacterial RNase P class B". It matches the Rfam family "Bacterial RNase P class B". Rfam says of the family: Ribonuclease P (RNase P) is a ubiquitous endoribonuclease, found in archaea, bacteria and eukarya as well as chloroplasts and mitochondria. Its best characterised activity is the generation of mature 5'-ends of tRNAs by cleaving the 5'-leader elements of precursor-tRNAs. Cellular RNase Ps are ribonucleoproteins. Lineage: Bacteria; Bacillati; Mycoplasmatota; Mollicutes; Acholeplasmatales; Acholeplasmataceae. The record is from Rfam by way of RNAcentral.
UUGGGAAGGUGACUGAGCGGGUGAUUACAUAUCCUCCGUUAGGAAAGUCCAUGCUAGCACAGACCCACUCGUUGGGUUUGUAGUGUUUGUGCCAAGGGAAACAAUAACCUUGGGUAUACAGUAAUGUAUAACGGCGAUUUUAAUGAGCUAAGGCUUGCUAUGCUCAAAAUCGUAACGUGCCACAGAAACGUGUCAGUUUAGAAAUGAACUGAAUGAAACGCGGUAAACCCCUCAAGCUAGAAACCCAAAAUAUGGUAGGGGCACGAGAUUCAUAGUAAUAUAGAAUCUUGCGAGUUUAUACUCGAGAUAAAUAGUCACAAGAAGGAAACUUCUACAGAACAUGGCUUAUACAC